RNAcentral lists this long non-coding RNA (614 nucleotides) under Suricata suricatta (meerkat). Its description in RNAcentral is "lncRNA (ENSSSUG00005018868.1)". The record is from RNAcentral. Lineage: Eukaryota; Metazoa; Chordata; Mammalia; Carnivora; Herpestidae.
ACAAAGUGCCUUGGCAGCAGGUGAAAUGACUCAGAGCAAGGCUGCUCACCCUGUUCUGAACAGCACUGAGACUGCUCCCUUCAUUUUCUGGAAGUCAUGACUAUCCAGUUCCUCAGAGAAAGCACCCUGCCCAGAGAGCCGUCCCUGCCCAGACUCUGCCAGAAAGGGAUCCGCUAGCUCGGGGCAAGUCCCUCAACUUCCUUCAGCUUCAGUUUCUAUCACACAAAAGGAAGAUAUGGCAAUGGAUUUCAGAACAGGAAGGUAGGAAAGGAGGAGGUCACCUGCUGGAAAACUGGGAAAUUGAUCCUACUGCUCUUCAGCAGUGAUCUGCCGCCCAAAUGUGGAAAAAGUCUCCAUGUGACAUGAUAAAGCAUUUUAAUUUCAGCCAGACACUAGCUUUUAAAAUGUUCUUCCAGACAUUUUCCUAACAAUUAGAAAAUUAGCCUUCAAUAUUCCAGUUGCCUUUUUCCACUUGACUUGGUAAACCACCUUGAACGGAGAGUAUGUCUUUCCCUUACAUGCAUUAUGGACACAUCUUGCUUCUGCAUGGGGACAGCCACCACGAGGUUGGACAUUGCGUACAUUUCUACUGAGCAGAUCCUCACGGAAGGCAU